This 38-nucleotide non-coding RNA is filed under the name Mus musculus (house mouse). Lineage: Eukaryota; Metazoa; Chordata; Mammalia; Rodentia; Muridae. The record is from RNAcentral.
GUUGCUUCUUUGAUUGGUCUGUAAGCUUAAGGCCCAAA